RNAcentral lists this small RNA (28 nucleotides) under Bombyx mori (domestic silkworm). RNAcentral's name for it is "ovarian small RNA-21226". Lineage: Eukaryota; Metazoa; Arthropoda; Insecta; Lepidoptera; Bombycidae. The record is from RNAcentral.
UACUAAAGUUUUUAGCUUCUACCAUAUG